UUUAAGUACAAUCAUAAAUUUCCGUGUCUAAUUUUAAUCGUCCGUCUUAUUUAAUUUUUUUUAUAAUUAGCAUUUUUAUUGUUAUGAGAUGAUAAAACAUAAAUAGUACUUCAUGCUUGACUUAUGUUUUUAAAUUCUUUUAAUAAGACAAACGAUCUAAAUUAGACACGGAAAAUUAUGACUGCACUUACA
Non-coding RNA from Oryza glaberrima (African rice), 192 nucleotides. Lineage: Eukaryota; Viridiplantae; Streptophyta; Magnoliopsida; Poales; Poaceae. The record is from Rfam.